RNAcentral lists this small nuclear RNA (80 nucleotides) under Caenorhabditis brenneri. RNAcentral describes it as "sRNA CBN33867". It matches the Rfam family "SmY spliceosomal RNA". Lineage: Eukaryota; Metazoa; Nematoda; Chromadorea; Rhabditida; Rhabditidae. The record is from Rfam by way of RNAcentral.
AGUGUAAUUGAAUGACUCUCAGGGCCUUGAACAAGACCCAGUGAACAAUUUUUGGAGACCCUAUUUUUCGGAGUAGGGUG